UUGAAGUUUUUAUAACUACAACUAAAAAGAACAGGCAUUUUUAUCGACUCUAAAUUUACCAUUUACAAUUUUCAUUAAAUUAUUUUUAUAUGCCAUUAGGUAUAUUU
Long non-coding RNA from Ipomoea nil (Japanese morning glory), 107 nucleotides. RefSeq lists it as uncharacterized. The transcript is spliced from 2 exons. The record is from RefSeq and is a predicted model, not a curated record. Lineage: Eukaryota; Viridiplantae; Streptophyta; Magnoliopsida; Solanales; Convolvulaceae.